RNAcentral lists this ribosomal RNA (484 nucleotides) under uncultured bacterium. RNAcentral's name for it is "partial 16S ribosomal RNA". It matches the Rfam family "Bacterial small subunit ribosomal RNA", at positions 30 to 507 of the family's 1533-position model. The record is from RNAcentral.
AUUGAACGCUGGCGGCAGGCCUAACACAUGCAAGUCGAGCGGAUGAAGGGAGCUUGCUCCUGGAUUCAGCGGCGGACGGGUGAGUAAUGCCUAGGAAUCUGCCUGGUAGUGGGGGAUAACGUCCGGAAACGGGCGCUAAUACCGCAUACGUCCUGAGGGAGAAAGUGGGGGAUCUUCGGACCUCACGCUAUCAGAUGAGCCUAGGUCGGAUUAGCUAGUUGGUGGGGUAAAGGCCUACCAAGCCGACGAUCCGUAACUGGUCUGAGAGGAUGAUCAGUCACACUGGAACUGAGACGCGGUCCAGACUCCUACGGGAGGCAGCAGUGGGGAAUAUUGGGCAAUGGGCGAAAGCCUGAUCCAGCCAGGCCGCGUGUGUGAAGGAGGUCUUCGGAUUGUAAAGAACUUUAAGUUGGGAGAAAGGGCAGUAAGUUAAUACCUUGCUGUUUUGACGUUACCAACAGAAUAAGCACCGGCUAACUUCGUG